This is a long non-coding RNA of Carassius gibelio (silver crucian carp), 1797 nucleotides long. RefSeq lists it as uncharacterized. The transcript has 5 exons. NCBI's taxonomy places the organism in Eukaryota, Metazoa, Chordata, Actinopteri, Cypriniformes, Cyprinidae. The record is from RefSeq and is a predicted model, not a curated record.
GCACUCUAAAAAACGCUGGGUUGUUUUUUCAACCCAACUGCUGGGUUGAGGCCGUUGGAUAGGACUUUGGGAUGUUUUAACCCAAGUUUGGGUUGAAAAUAACUAUCUUUUUUAACCCAGCGGGGGUGGGUGAGGACGCGGACGUGAAGGAGAGCACGCACGUCACGUCAAAAUCGUACGUCUCUCCAGUGCGAGCAGCCGCCAUUUUCUCAGCGUGAUAGAAGCGAGAAGCGAGUGAAAGACUAUGACUUGUCCAGCUCCUGUCUUCAUUGUCCUCGCGCUGAGAGUUAAAGACACAGAAGCUGUUUGUGUGAGGAGUCACAGACCUGUGUGAGGAGGAGGAGGAGGAGGUGUUCUUCUGAAGAGGGGGACAGACGGUUUAAGGAGAGUAAACUUCAGAAUAACAUCAAGUUAUCUUUAUUUUGACUAAGACUAAAAUAAUGUGUGUGUUUUUUUUUAGAUGUUGAAAUCCAGAGACAAGAUAACUUCAUUCUUUUGAGACUGAUAACUCAAACUAACUGGAGUUAAGGACACACAAGUCUGCUUGUGUGAGGAGGAGGUUUUCUCAGCUUCUUCUGAAGAGAGGGAAAGAUCGUUUAAACUUCAUAAUUUCAUGUUAUCAGUUGUUGUUUUUUUACUAAGAGUAAAAUAAUGUUUGUUUUUUGUUUUUGUAGAUGUUAAAAGCAAGAGACAUGGGAGAUCAUCAUUCCCUUGAGAUUUUAUAAAUCAAACCAACUUUGGAGUUGUCUGAUUUGGAGAGUCAUUAUUCUUGGUCUGUGCUCUUAGAGGCCACUGAUGAAGAGCAGGCGGUGACUGGGAUCAAUGCUGGUCAGAGAGGAGAAUCUUCUUUCCCCUAAACUGAUGCAGCGGUGGUUUUAAAGGAGGACGCUGCCCUGGAUGAUGUAGAAGAUGUCACAUGCUGUGCUGAUGGGGUUUCUUCAUGAUUACAUCAGUCAUGCUAAAGAGAUCAUGAAAAUUGACUGUGAUGCAUGAUCUGUAUUCAUGGACAAUGAAACAAACUGUAAGUGUAUAAUUUGUUAAAAAAAAAAAGUUAAAUGCUUUUUCUGUGUUGUUUAGUAGAAAAGUUUACACUCUGUCAUUCAUACACCUGCUCACAUUCUUUCACACACACACACACACACACACACACAUGCGUCUGUUAAAUGUUAUAAUAUCAAAGUUAAUGUUGUGAUUUAUUUGUGUACUGUCAUGCCAGAAUAGUAGGAAAAAAACCAAACUAAUUGUAAAUUUAUUGUAUGUGUUUUCGUAUAUUUUUAUACAAUAUAUACAAUUGAACAAAGUCCAAUUUGAUCUUAAGUUAUAUUCAUCAAAUGUUCAAUGCUUUGUUUAUGAACUCUGUAGCUGUUAAUGCCAUCCUUUUCUGCAUUUCUUCUAACAUGUUACUUUUUGACUUUUCUCUUGUUUUUAAUAAAUAUUUUCCUUUUGGUAAUUAUUAUUUGUGUGUAAAAGUGAUAUUUAAAAUGAAUAACAUUUGUAGGUUUAAUGCCUAGCUCAAUUUGGGUUAAUUUUAACGUAGAAAUGCAUUGUUUCCCCACAUGGCUGCACUCUGCGAGUUUAUUUUCUGCCAGCAGGAGGCGCUAAGAGCGGGAGAGGUAGGUUUCUCCGGUAACGGCUGCAGAGCGGUACUGAGCUCACAAACGCUGCCUUAUCAAGCACAUGCGAAAUGAUAUCGAACAUUUUCUAAAUACAGUAGUUUUCCUUCUGAAAUACAGUGAUAAAAAAAACACCCGCUCUGUUUUUUUAAACCCUGCAAUAUAGUCAUUUUAAACCAUAAAA